GCCCCCAUAGUCUAGAGGCCUAGGACACCUCUCUUUCACGGAGGAAACGGGGAUUCGAAUUCCCCUGGGGGUA
This 73-nucleotide transfer RNA is filed under the name Oedocladium carolinianum. RNAcentral describes it as "tRNA-Glu". It matches the Rfam family "tRNA". From Rfam's summary of the family: Transfer RNA (tRNA) molecules are approximately 80 nucleotides in length. Their secondary structure includes four short double-helical elements and three loops (D, anti-codon, and T loops). The record is from RNAcentral. Lineage: Eukaryota; Viridiplantae; Chlorophyta; Chlorophyceae; Oedogoniales; Oedogoniaceae. RNAcentral also lists the same sequence under 1 other name.